Molecule: ribosomal RNA, 434 nt
Filed under: uncultured Lachnospiraceae bacterium
Lineage: Bacteria; Bacillati; Bacillota; Clostridia; Lachnospirales; Lachnospiraceae
Description: partial 16S ribosomal RNA
Rfam family: Bacterial small subunit ribosomal RNA
Source: RNAcentral
ACGGAAGGCAGCAGUGGGGAAUAUUGGACAAUGGGGGAAACCCUGACCCAGCGACGCCGCGUGAGUGAAGAAGUAUUUCGGUAUGUAAAGCUCUAUCAGCAAGGAAGAAAAUGACGGUACUUGACUAAGAAGCUCCGGCUAAAUACGUGCCAGCAGCCGCGGUAAUACGUAUGGAGCAAGCGUUAUCCGGAUUUACUGGGUGUAAAGGGAGCGUAGACGGCAAAGCAAGUCUGAAGUGAAAUCCCGGGGCUCAACCCCGGAACUGCUUUGGAAACUGUUUAGCUAGAGUGCAGGAGAGGUAAGCGGAAUUCCUAGUGUAGCGGUGAAAUGCGUAGAUAUUAGGAGGAACACCAGUGGCGAAGGCGGCUUACUGGACUGUAACUGACGUUGAGGCUCGAAAGCGUGGGGAGCAAACAGGAUUAGAUACCCUGGUA